Molecule: ribosomal RNA, 468 nt
Filed under: uncultured bacterium
Lineage: Bacteria
Description: partial 16S ribosomal RNA
Rfam family: Bacterial small subunit ribosomal RNA
Source: RNAcentral
GACGAACGCUGGCGGCGUGCUUAACACAUGCAAGUCGAACGGAAAGGCCCUGCUUUUGUGGGGUGCUCGAGUGGCGAACGGGUGAGUAACACGUGAGUAACCUGCCCUUGACUUUGGGAUAACUUCAGGAAACUGGGGCUAAUACCGGAUAGGAGCUCCUGCUGCAUGGUGGGGGUUGGAAAGUUUCGGCGGUUGGGGAUGGACUCGCGGCUUAUCAGCUUGUUGGUGGGGUAGUGGCUUACCAAGGCUUUGACGGGUAGCCGGCCUGAGAGGGUGACCGGCCACAUUGGGACUGAGAUACGGCCCAGACUCCUACGGGGGGCAGCAGUGGGGAAUAUCGCACAAUGGGCGGAAGCCUGAUGCAGCAACGCCGCGUGCGGGAUGACGGCCUUCGGGUUGUAAACCGCUUUCGCCUGUGACGAAGCGUGAGUGACGGUAAUGGGUAAAGAAGCACCGGCUAACUACGUG